GGAUUAGAUACCCUGGUAGUCCACGCCGUAAACGAUGAGAACUAGGUGUUGGGAGUUUAACUCUUGGUACCGCAGCUAACGCAUUAAGUUCUCCGCCUGGGGAGUACGGCCGCAAGGCUAAAACUCAAAGGAAUUGACGGGGGCCCGCACAAGCGGUGGAGCAUGUGGUUUAAUUCGAUGCAACGCGAAAAACCUUACCUACCCUUGAAAUCUUCGGAAUCUCUCAGCAAUGAGAGAGUGCCUUCGGGAACCGAAUGACAGGUGUUGCAUGGCUGUCGUCAGCUCGUGCCG
This 291-nucleotide ribosomal RNA is filed under the name uncultured bacterium. RNAcentral's name for it is "partial 16S ribosomal RNA". It matches the Rfam family "Bacterial small subunit ribosomal RNA", at positions 775 to 1067 of the family's 1533-position model. The record is from RNAcentral.